AUUGAACGCUGGCGGCAGGCCUAACACAUGCAAGUCGAGCGGAUGAAGGGAGCUUGCUCCUGGAUUCAGCGGCGGACGGGUGAGUAAUGCCUAGGAAUCUGCCUGGUAGUGGGGGAUAACGUCCGGAAACGGGCGCUAAUACCGCAUACGUCCUGAGGGAGAAAGUGGGGGAUCUUCGGACCUCACGCUAUCAGAUGAGCCUAGGUCGGAUUAGCUAGUUGGUGGGGUAAAGGCCUACCAAGGCGACGAUCCGUAACUGGUCUGAGAGGAUGAUCAGUCACGCUGGAACUGAGACACGGUCCAGACUCCUACGGGAGGCAGCAGUGGGGAAUAUUGGACAAUGGGCGAAAGCCUGAUCCAGCCAUGCCGCGUGUGUGAAGAAGGUCUUCGGAUUGUAAAGCACUUUAAGUUGGGAGGAAGGGCAGUAAGUUAACACCUUGCUGUUUUGACGUUACCAACAGAAUAAGCACCGGCUAACUUCGUG
This 484-nucleotide ribosomal RNA is filed under the name uncultured bacterium. RNAcentral describes it as "partial 16S ribosomal RNA". It matches the Rfam family "Bacterial small subunit ribosomal RNA", at positions 30 to 507 of the family's 1533-position model. The record is from RNAcentral.